UACGUAGGAGGCAAGCGUUAUUCGGAUUCACUGGGCGUAAAGGGUGCGCAGGCGGUUCGUUGUGUCGGCGGUGAAAGCCCCGGGCUUAACCUGGGAAUGGCCGUUGAAACUGGCGAACUGGAGUGUGGCAGAGGGGGGUGGAAUUCCGCGUGUAGCAGUGAAAUGCGUAGAGAUCGGGAGGAACACCAGAGGCGAAGGCGGCGACCUGGACAGGUACUGACACUCAACUACGAAAGCGUGGGGAGCAAACAGG
This 253-nucleotide ribosomal RNA is filed under the name uncultured bacterium. RNAcentral describes it as "partial 16S ribosomal RNA". It matches the Rfam family "Bacterial small subunit ribosomal RNA", at positions 524 to 776 of the family's 1533-position model. The record is from RNAcentral.